This is an RNA transcript of Brachypodium distachyon (stiff brome), 3471 nucleotides long. RefSeq lists it as uncharacterized. Lineage: Eukaryota; Viridiplantae; Streptophyta; Magnoliopsida; Poales; Poaceae. The record is from RefSeq and is a predicted model, not a curated record. The transcript has 8 exons.
GCAGUUUUGCACUUUGCUCCCCAAAACUUCUCCUUUCCUCGCAAUGCCGCCACCCUUCGCCUGCGCAACCGCCUCUCGCUUCGCCGCCCACUGGGUCGCCGACGCCCUCGCCGGCGACGAUGCCCUCGACUUCUCUGCCAUCACGGCGCUGUUAGACGCCUCGCCGGAGACCCUCACCGGCGCCCCGGAGUCCGUGACGGAGCGGGUGGCGCUCCGGUGUCUGCAGGAGCUCGCUGCCUCCGCCGCUGAGGGCCGGGCUGCGGCGGCGCCAGCGCCGACGGGGAUGCUUAGGGUUGACACGGCUCGCUCUUGCGAGGACUUGCUGCUUGAGAUCGUCGGAAAGGUCAGAUAUCCAGGAAGUUUGGAGAAGAAUAGGUUCCCAGCUUUCAGCCAAGACAUCCAAAACAUUAUAUUUUACAAGAAACCUACAUUGCCGGAAACUUGUUUUCAGUUGCUCAGAGAAGUGGACCCAGAGAUUGAACGUAUGGCUCUACCAUCCCCCCUGGAGCGGAAUGGUAACAACAAACAUGAUGAUCAGUCCUUGUGCGAUCUCACCCAUGAUCAUGUAAUUGUAGACAAGCCUAGGCAUCCUAAAGACAAUGCUAAGUUUCCACAAGAGAAUUUAGCAAAUUUACACAAUGAAGUUAACGCAGGAAAUACCCAGAGGGAUCCAAUAGAGCCAACAGCUGAUUUUUACCAACCAUGUAAAUUGGACAGUAGCUGUUUCGAACACCUAAAAGAAGAUAGUCCUACUAAUGUGGAAGGGAAUAUGUCAGUUGCAGACAUGCCUGCUUCAGCUAGCAGCAAUGGAGCUUUGCAGGAAAGCAUUACUGAGAUGUCAAAGCAGGACACAGUGGAUCACAGUACCAUGGUUCAACCACAAUCUUGUAGAGGGAAAUCUCCUGAUCCUGCUCAGUAUGACAAUGGAGAGGAACCACACGAUGAUGGUGCCAGUGAUCAGUCAUCUAGGGAUCUCAGCCAUGGAGGACCGAGCAUGCAGCCUAUAAUAGCAUCAGCUUUGGACAGAAGCGGUUAUGCUUUACCAACAAAUGCAUCUGAAACAAGCCACUUGCCUGAGUUUAUCACUGGGCAGGAUACAACCAUCAUUCCACAAGCGGACAGCGGCCAAACUUAUCUGGCUUCUUCACGACAUGACAGCGGUGAGAACGUAAAUCAAGAUCUAUAUUAUGACGGUACAAGCAUUCAGCCAGUGGAAAAUCCAGUGGAGAAUGAUUGCAUUCAUGAGGAACUGACUCUAGAAGCUGCUGGCAUUUUACCUUCUGUAAGCUGCAACGGUGUGAUUCAAGGAGAUAAAUAUGAAACCAACCAUCUGUCGGGGAAUAUUGAAGAGCAUGCUGCAUUGUUUGGACAGCCCAAUGGUGGUAACCAUCACCUGGAAAUCUGUUGUGCCGACAUAGUUAAUCAAGCUCUUUAUAGGGAUGGUGGCAUCCUUGAAGACAAUAUGGUCCAUGGUGAGCUUAGUGUGCAGAGUUCAGGGCGCACCUACAGUGUAGCCUUACGUAAUGAAAUUUCAGAGGCCAAUUAUUUAUCCGUGCAGAACAUUGAGAAGAGCACAAUUGAUGUUCACAAAUUUAAUUGCAGUAUAACUUCUCCAACUGCUCCUCAGGAUGACAGUAGAGGAAGCAUAAAGCAAAUAUCAAACGUAUACACUGUGGUGAAAACAUCAUAUGUCCAUUCCUCAGAUGAAAGUUUUAGUGGCUUUGUUGACAAGAUGUCAUUCUUUAUCAAGGAUCAAGACACCAAUGGUUCCCCCAGGGGUUGUUCAGAACAAGAGUCGUGCAUAAAGUGUGGUAAGGAUGGUCAGUUGCUGAAGUGUAGCACCUGCUUGUUAGCUGCUCACGACAGUUGUUUCGGUCCAUCAAUGCCAUUUGAAGACUCUACACAGUUCUGUUGCCCGGUGUGCUUCUACAUUAAAGCUACUGAAGCAUAUAAAAAAGCAAAGAACACAUAUUGUGAAGCUAGAAUGAACCUCACUGCUUUCCUUGGUACAGAGCAAUUGGCCAAGCAACAUGACGAGCAACCGCCUGCAGUUUUGCCAAUAGCUUGCAGCAAGGAUCAUUUGGAUGGAUACAAUGCAUUGAAAAGGAAAAAUAAUCAACAAACUAAAACGCAUACCCUUGCUCGUUCGGAUGAAAAGGCUGAUCGGCAGAGGAAGAAGCAGAAAACAAAUGCUACAAUUGAUGUGUGUCCCAAGGAGUCAAUGGCUGAAAAGGCUUCUUCUGUUCGGAAUUCAGACGUUGAACCCAUGAAUAAACAUUCUGUACUCCAGAAUAUUAGCAACCAAGUUCAGGAUACAGAAAAGGAGCAGCAAGUUGAAAAAUCAGUAGCUCGCGAAGAAGCUGGUAAUGGUGAUUUGUGUGACGGAACAACAAAUUCAUCUCAUGGCAGAUGCCGCCCUUCUGCUAUAAAUCAGGAAGUUAAUGCUGACAAAGAUGGUUUUAUAAACCCUAACCAAUCUGAAAAUUCUGAUGAAAUGGAAGCGGCAUCUUUUAAUGAGUCUGGCAAGCAAUCAUUACCCCCUUCGCAUAACAUCAGACAAAGCAAAUCAGGAUUACGAGAAAGGGAGACACCAGUAUCACGUAGUUCUGGAAAAGUGCUUGUGCGGGAUCAACACAUGCCUUCGCCAUCAAGAAAAAGAAACUAUGCAGAUCCAACCAACUAUAUUUUGCAGUUCCAAUCCUGUCACACCAACUGGAAGGCGCUUGAAGCUUUGUUGGACGGAAGAAGAAGAAGUAGCUUUGAGGGAAGCAAUGGAGAAAUUUACCCCACAGGACAACAUGCCAAUUCCAUGGGUUCAGAUACUAGAAUACGGCCGGGACGUGUUUCACCGUGCACGCCUCCCAUGUGACUUGAGGGUCAAGUGGAGAAACAUGAUGAAGAAAGCGGGUUCCUGACACUGGCAAUGAAUUGGGUAGUCCAUUGAUUUCCAACUAUGAAAAGUCCAAAGCCAAGUAAUUGGAAUUGCAGUCGAAGUUCAAUGAACUUCUAGAGGCCCACAAGCUAACAUGCAGACAGGUUGCAGGUCUGAGGAACUAACCAGAUUGGUGCUACUAGGCACGCCGCGGACGUGCGCUAGCUGCACCGCAAAAGCAAGGAAUAUGCCACACAGAGCGUAUGACGCUUCUAGUUCCAGUUCCAGCCAUCCUUGCCUGCUUGCUUCUUCUGGCCUGUUGGUCGGUCGGUGUCGCUUCCGUGAGUGCGUCUACGUGCAGCGGACGGACUGUCCAUGUGCGGUGGUGCGCACCCAACGUGCCCUUUGUGCUUGGACUGCCGCCCAAGCCUUCUUUCUUUCUUUUUACCAAGCAAGCAAAGCAUAUCUUCUCUGAAGAAAGCUCACCGUUUUACUGCUCUGUCACCGCCGGUCGGUUAGCUAUCCUCACAUCAUCAAAAAAUUACACGAAGAGGACAAGAGGUAAUAAUAAUACUAAGAAAAGAUGGUACUGUAUGUCA